This 457-nucleotide unclassified non-coding RNA is filed under the name uncultured Russula. RNAcentral describes it as "sequence contains ITS2". The stretch from base 1 to 154 matches the Rfam family "5.8S ribosomal RNA". The record is from RNAcentral. Lineage: Eukaryota; Fungi; Basidiomycota; Agaricomycetes; Russulales; Russulaceae.
AACUUUUGGCAACGGAUCACUUGGCUCUCGCAUCGAUGAUGAACGCAGCGAAAUGCGAUUCGUAUUGUGAAUUGCACAAUUCAGUGAAUCAUCGAAUCUUUGAACGCACCUUGCGCCCCUUGGCAUUUCGAGGGGCACACCCGUUUGAGUGUCGUGAAAUCAUCAAAACCUUUUCCUUUGGGAAAAGGAUUUUGGACUUGGAGGUUCCAUGCUCGCUUUCUUUUGAAAGCGAGCUCCUCUCAAAGGAAUCAGUGGUGUCCGCUUUGCCGAUCCUUGACGUGAUAAGAUGCUUCUACGUUUUGGAUUUGGCACUGUCCCUUGGACGCCUGCUCCUAACCGUCCCCAUGGACAAUGAUGGUGCUCCGGUCGACCGCGGCUGGACCCACGAAAAGAAAACCUUGACCUCAAAUCGGGUGAGACUACCCGCUGAACUUAAGCAUAUCAAUAAGCGGAGGCU